CGGGUGAGUAAUAUAUCGGAACGUACCCUGGAGUGGGGGAUAACGUAGCGAAAGUUACGCUAAUACCGCAUACGAUCUAAGGAUGAAAGCAGGGGACCGCAAGGCCUUGUGCUCCUGGAGCGGCCGAUAUCUGAUUAGCUAGUUGGUGGGGUAAAGGCCUACCAAGGCAUCGAUCAGUAGCUGGUCUGAGAGGACGACCAGCCACACUGGAACUGAGACACGGUCCAG
This 228-nucleotide ribosomal RNA is filed under the name uncultured bacterium. RNAcentral's name for it is "partial 16S ribosomal RNA". It matches the Rfam family "Bacterial small subunit ribosomal RNA", at positions 103 to 334 of the family's 1533-position model. The record is from RNAcentral.